This 72-nucleotide transfer RNA is filed under the name Stegodyphus mimosarum. It matches the Rfam family "tRNA". Rfam says of the family: Transfer RNA (tRNA) molecules are approximately 80 nucleotides in length. Their secondary structure includes four short double-helical elements and three loops (D, anti-codon, and T loops). Lineage: Eukaryota; Metazoa; Arthropoda; Arachnida; Araneae; Eresidae. The record is from Rfam by way of RNAcentral.
GCCUUCGUGGUGUAAUUGGCAGCACGUCUGGCUAAAAACCAGAAAGUACAGAGUUCGAAACACGCAACGGCA